Molecule: long non-coding RNA, 1103 nt
Filed under: Homo sapiens (human)
Lineage: Eukaryota; Metazoa; Chordata; Mammalia; Primates; Hominidae
Description: HSALNT0299355
Source: RNAcentral
GAAAGUCUCUCCCCAGGGACCAUGACUGAGAGCUCAUUGGCUGUAGCUGGGUCACAUGGCCACAGAAAAAAGAGUCUGGGAAGAUGAGAAUAUUUUUUAGCUGGGCACUUUGCUGUCCUUACAACAGCAAGAUUUUGUUAGGAACGAAGAGGGUAGUGAUAAGCUCCUCACCUCCUGCCUGCCUAAGCUCCAGUUGCAAGGAAGGGAGAUAGAGUGAGAAGAAUAAAAAUAAAGAAGUUGCUCAUCUCUUCAUUUUGCAUGAGGACCUUGAAGUUUGCACAGCAUGGUGACGGUGACACCAAAUGAAAAGAGGACUGAGAACAGACUGUAAGCAAUUCAGCCUGCCAAAAAUUCAGAUUGCUAAAUAAGGGAUACCAAUCAGAUGUUUUCUAUCUUCCCUGGAGAAACUAAGGAACUUCAAGUUUAAAAUGCCUCAUGAAGAAUUGGGAUAAAAUAUAAAGAAUUUCCUGAAGAAAGGGAGGAAGAUGAUUGUGUACUGAAUGAUUGCAAUAGAACAUCUGAAAAUGUAAAAUGAAAAGGAUAACUGAACUUUUCUAUGAAGAGCUUGAUUAUGGCCAUACAUUGAAUUAAUGAGCAUUCAGUGAGUCCACAGUUCUUUGUUGAGGGUCUCCUGCAUGCCAUACACUGUGCUACGUCCUGGGGCUCCAUAAAUUCUUUGUUAACAAAAUAAAAAUACCCCCAUACAGAGAAGCACUUUCAGAUACAUUACCUCAUCUCUAACAGAACACACAGUCAACAGAACCAUGCGGAGGCUGAUCAAUAUUCUAAACAAUAGUUUCAUAAAUACUGUCCCUAGACUCGUCUACUCACUGGGAGCUGCAGGGGUUGGUAUUCUAGCUAGCAAAUGAAACAAUCUGCAUACAUGCUUAAAUCAAGUUUGUUUAAAAUUAGAAAAUGGCAUAAUGUAUUCAAAAGUUUUUAUGCAGUAUUUGCAUGGAAUUUAAAAUAUGCUACAUGCUUUGAAUUAGGAGAGCAGAGCGAUGUGUAGCUCAUCUAUUGGUCUGAUCGAAUGUUUAAAAAUCAAAUUUUAGAGAGCUCUGUACUUAAAUAACUGUAAAAGAAAAUAAAAUCAGAAUGCAUAA